AUUGAACGCUGGCGGAAUGCUUUACACAUGCAAGUCGAACGGUAGAGGGGGCUUGCACUAUCACUUAGCGGCGGACGGGUGAGUAAUGCUUAGGAAUCUGCCUAUUAGUGGGGGACAACAUCUCGAAAGGGAUGCUAAUACCGCAUACGUCCUACGGGAGAAAGCAGGGGAUCACUUGUGACCUUGCGCUAAUAGAUGAGCCUAAGUCGGAUUAGCUAGUUGGUGGGGUAAAGGCCUACCAAGGCGACGAUCUGUAGCGGGUCUGAGAGGAUGAUCCGCCACACUGGGACUGAGACACGGCCCAGACUCCUACGGGAGGCAGCAGUGGGGAAUAUUGGACAAUGGGGGGAACCCUGAUCCAGCCAUGCCGCGUGUGUGAAGAAGGCCUUAUGGUUGUAAAGCACUUUAAGCGAGGAGGAGGCUCUUUUGGUUAAUACCCAAGAUGAGUGGACGUUACUCGCAGAAUAAGCACCGGCUAACUCUGUGCCAGCCGCCGCGGUAA
This 502-nucleotide ribosomal RNA is filed under the name uncultured bacterium. RNAcentral's name for it is "partial 16S ribosomal RNA". It matches the Rfam family "Bacterial small subunit ribosomal RNA", at positions 30 to 523 of the family's 1533-position model. The record is from RNAcentral.